ACAGGUUACAAAGUCGUAUUUGCAGACGACAACUUAGUAAGAGUGUUAGGUCUACAGAAUCUACGACAAAAGACAUCGAGAUGAAUUCAGCUGAAGGUGUUUUGUAACAAAACACUUUCAUAUAUAUAUGAACUUACAAGAAACUCACAAGUCAUCUGAUAAUGUUCUCAAAACAGGAUAUAAUAAACAAUAUCAACAACAAAAGGAAGCUGUAUUUCCUUGUCCUUGAACAAAAGACAUUUAACAUCAGUCAAAUGAUCCUAUAUAUUUAUACAUGUAUACAAGAAUGAACAAGGUUAUAUAUGUUAUUUAAUCUAUAUUGGGACAUUAUCAUGGUAUCUUAAUGACAAAAAAACAAACAUUCACAUAAUUAGCUUGUUUGGUCUGAAUGUGCUUGUAAUUUAAUAUGACAAACUGUAUGUAGAAUAAGAAGUAAUUAUCACACCAUCAAUGAGACAACAUCAACGACGAAAAUAAAUAGAUGAAAAAGUAUGCAAAAAUCAUCAACAACAGAUAGAUGUGCGUAGAAUCGCCAAGUGUGUUACAACAUUAUGCACAUAAAGCUGUUCAAUAUAGUUGCAAUAUUAAAAUAUGUAACAAUGUGUCAUAGAGCACUUUUUAUAGUAAUUAGUAAACACAAUCCUAGCAUAUUAAAAUUUAUGAUGA
This 666-nucleotide long non-coding RNA is filed under the name Mytilus galloprovincialis (Mediterranean mussel). Lineage: Eukaryota; Metazoa; Mollusca; Bivalvia; Mytilida; Mytilidae. The record is from RNAcentral.